Long non-coding RNA from Cornus florida, 1269 nucleotides. RefSeq lists it as uncharacterized. The transcript has 6 exons. NCBI's taxonomy places the organism in Eukaryota, Viridiplantae, Streptophyta, Magnoliopsida, Cornales, Cornaceae. The record is from RefSeq and is a predicted model, not a curated record.
CUUAUUUAGAAAACAUUUCUAAGUAUGAUGUAACUUAUUCUAAGUUGAAUCUGUAUUAUUCGUCUGGUGGUUUAUUUUGGUAUUGAAAUUAUUUUCCUGGGUCCUCGUAUGAGUCUCAUAUGGAGUGUUAUUUAAAAAUCAUAGGUGUGUGAGUUUUCUGGCAGCUGGAGGGUCGUGAAAGCAAGGAGGUUAUGGGAUUAUGUGACAAUGGACGGGCUUACAUGUUACAUGCUUACGGAAGGCUAGGAAAAUAACAUCAUAUUAAAGUCAUUAUGACUUGUUUCCUCACUAUUAAUUCCUUGGAGCUCCCCUACUGCAUUAUGACUGUUAUUUCAACCACAAUUUACCUCAUGAGGAUGAAUGGAUAAAUCAGUACAAAGGAAGAGUGUUCAGUUUAAACGACAAGCCUGUGGUGCACAAAAUUUGGCUGCCGAAUGAGGAAUACCCCAGAUUGGCAAUGUCUAGAGCCUUUGGGGACUACUUUAUUAAGGAUUUUGGACUUAUAUCCGUCCCUGAAGUGAGGUGUUGUCACAUAUAACCAGCAGAGACCAAUUUGUUGUGUUGCGAACCGAUGAGUCUUCCCGCUAGGGGCUGGGAAGAGAUAACAACGGGAGCGUCGAUUGCAUGGCUAUCAAGUACAUCAAAUUUCUGGAUAGGUUUCUUCCCAACCGAUCUGCAAUGGAUUUUGAUUUUGCACAUUACAUGCUCAACGGUGGGAUGGUAAGAAAGGAAAGCCCAACACCAUGCUCUCCAGCCAAAGAAGCUUACAGGAAGAGGAUCCUUGCUUUUAAGAACAACUCUAGGAGAUAGAUUCCCCAAUCUCCAGAAAGGAUUCUUGUUGUUUCUGAGCUCCUAGAUGAGUUUUAUUUGAAUUUACUGGAUUGGAGUAGCAGUAACAUUGUCGCUGCCGCUCUUGGGAAUUCAGUAUAUUUGUGGAAUGCUGCUAAUGGCGCUACUUCUGCACUUGUUGUGAUUGAUGAGGAAAUUGGGCAUGUGACAAGUGUCAGAUGGGCGCCGGAUGGAGUACAUCUUGCUGUUGGUUUAAGUAAUUCCCACAUCCAGCUGUUGGACCCUUCAUCUUGUCGGAUGCUACUUGCUUGGAUUUUGUACCAUGGACAAUGAGGUGAUUUUUUGACAAGUGCAGACUGAAAAUCAAGUGCUAGAAGGUUUAUAAAUUUGGUAAAUAGCAGUGCUAGGAAAUUGAUGAUAUUCUUGACAAAUGGAUUUUGUUCCUGUUUUGGAACAUUGAUGAAUGGUGAAUUGUUUUGG